CGUGGCUUUCUCACAUAAGGCCAGUUGUGAGCAGACCUCUCUGCUCUCCUGGAUAUAAAGGGUUUUUCUGGUUCUGUUUGACUGCAGGAUGCACAGUGUGUGCUGUGCUGGGAAACUGCACGUCACGGAGCUGCACAGGAGGAGGAUGCUCACAGCAGACCAUGCUGGAGCAAGGGGCUGCUGAAGGAUAUGCUGCUGAAGAUGCAGAUAAUUUGGGAUGGAGAUGCCUUCCUAGAGCUGUUUCACUCUUGCUGCAAAGAGAGUUGAUUAGCAUCAAGGAAAAGUGAGCUUCAGGAUUGCCACAGCAGUUGUAGGAAAGUGAUGUGUACUCUCAGCUGAAAUAUCUCCCUGACCUCUCAAACCAGUGCUGCAGGGUGAGAGAAAGGAGGUGUAUUGGUUGCCAUAGUAAUAAACCAACCUGCAAAAACCAGGCAUGUUCCCUUCCUUGUGAAAUCCAUUUCAUCUCCAGGCAUCUCAGAGCAAGGACUCAUGACAAAAGAGACAUGGAGGUGCUGGAGCAGGUCCAGAGAAGGGCAACGGAGCUGGUGCAGGGUCUGGAGCACAAGUGUGAUGGGGAAUGGCUGAGGGACCUGGGGGGGUUCAGUCUGGAGAAGAGAAGGCUCAGGGGGGACCUCAUCGCUCUCUACAACUGCCUGAAAGGAGGAUGGAGCCAGGAGGGGGCUGGGCUCUGCUCCCAAGGAACAAGGGAUGGGACAAGAGGAAACAGCCUCAAGCUGCACCAGGGGAGGUUUAGGCUGGAUAUUGGGAACAAUUUCUUCCCCAAAGGGCAGUCAGGCAUUGGAACAGGCUGCCCAGGGCAGUGCUGGAAUCACCAUCCCUGGAAGUGUUCACAAACCGUGUAGAGGAGGCCCUCAGUGCCAUGGGUUAGUGGUGGCCUUGGCAGUGCUGGGAAUGGCUGGACCUGAUGGUAUUGAAGGGCUUUUCCAACCUGGUUGAUUCUGUGACUAGGAAUUGGACAAUGAUAAAGGGAAAAUAACUUGAGGGCAAGCCAAGGAAGAGUAGAGGAACAAGGCAAGCAUGGUGGACAAUGAGAGAUCCACUGGAGCAGGUAAUGCUGAGGAGAAGCCAAAGAAGCGGCUGAUUUGUGACCACCACGUCCCUUAAGAAGUGCAGAGCUGACACCAGUUCCAGGAAGGAGCACAUGUCAUUUUAGAGAUCUUUUUAACAAUCUUGUAAGAUCUAUUACAAAUCUUAUUAAAAA
Neopsephotus bourkii (Bourke's parrot) is the source of this 1222-nucleotide long non-coding RNA. RefSeq lists it as uncharacterized. Lineage: Eukaryota; Metazoa; Chordata; Aves; Psittaciformes; Psittacidae. The transcript is spliced from 3 exons. The record is from RefSeq and is a predicted model, not a curated record.